GACGAACGCUGGCGGCGUGCUUAACACAUGCAAGUUGAACGCUAAGGCCUUGUACUUGUACCGACCUCAUGAGCCGCGCACGUGUGUGUAACGCGUGUGAAAUCUCCCUGUCAGCGGGGUACCACAUGUGGACACGAAUGCUAAUACCGCAUAAGCACUUUAUACACAGGGGUGAAGGGUGAAAUAUGCAGUUGCAUCACUCACUGAUGAUCUCGCGUUGUAUUAGCUGGGUGGUGAGGUACAGGCUCUUCAAGGCGGUGAUACCUAGCCGGACUGAGUGGGUGGUCGGCCACAUUGGGAGUGAGACAGGGCACAAAGGCAUAGGGGAGGCAGCAGUAGGGAAUCUGGGGCAAUGGGCGAAAGUCUGAGCGAGCAGCGCCGAGUGAGUGAAGAAGGUUUUCGGAUCGGAAAACUCUGUUGGUAGGGAAGAACGUUGGUGCGCGUGGAAAGCUCAUCAAGUGACGGUAACUAGUCAGAAAGGGACGGCUAACUACGUG
RNAcentral lists this ribosomal RNA (497 nucleotides) under uncultured bacterium. RNAcentral's name for it is "partial 16S ribosomal RNA". It matches the Rfam family "Bacterial small subunit ribosomal RNA", at positions 28 to 507 of the family's 1533-position model. The record is from RNAcentral.